UGCACUCCAGCCUGGGUGAAAGAGCGAGACUCCGUCUCAAAAAAAAAAAAAGAAACGCUGUUGGGGGCAGGAGCCUGGAUCUCAACCCCUGCAAGGUGGAAAUCUGGCUUCCUCUCACCCAUACGAGCCUGCCAGAGGCAGGAGGCUGACGCCCCGGAGGGACCAGCUGACAUCGGCCUUGAGGGACCAGACUUCUCCAGGCCGGCAACCUUCUCCCAGCUUUGUGAGGUGGAGCCCAACCUCCAGACCAAGAGAGGCCUUCCUGACCUUCAACCCCAUCUCCAGAGCUCCCCAGAGCUGGUCUAGCCCCUCAUCUGACACACAGAGAAACGGAGACCAGGAACCUGACGCUGGUUUCCCUAGCCCAUGUGAGGACCCUGUAGACCAGCUACAUGCACACCCAGUCCAGCCGCCGGACAGCGUUCAGUGGGAAGAGAGCAGACCAUCGUCCACCCACAUUCCAGACUCCAACUGGCAGAGGGGAGGGGACGUUGGGGCUGCAGGGCCACCAAUGUGGACGGGACAGAGCCCCAGGGACAGCCUGUGCUGGGGACGUAUGGGGGCAGGAUCAGACCCCACAGUGCCUGCGGGCCACAAGGCCAAGACAGGAUCUGGUAAGUGACGAUUUGGAGGCUGGUCCUGAGGUGCAAGAGGGAGUGCCAGGGACAGAGAGGGCACCGGGGUGACUACAGUCCCUCCAGACUCACAUCUACCCGCACCUGUGGGUGGGGCCUUAUUUGCAUACAGGGUCUUUGCACACGUGGUUGGUUACAAUGAGGAUGCUGGAGGGGGUGGUCUGUGUCCCUGUUAACAACUCAUGUCCUUAAGAGAAAAGAGGAACGUGGACACCCACACAUCGGGAGACGGCCGCAUGGAGACGGAGCAGAGGCUGGAGUGACGCGGCCGCAGACCAAGGGCGCCUGGAGCCCCGGAAGCUGGGAGGGGCAGGAAGGGUCCUCCCCUGGAGCUACUCCUUGACCUCAGCUUCCUGUGGCCUCCAGGACAGGGACAGGCUGCUCUAAGCCACCCAGUUUGCAGCACUGCUGCGGCCGCCACGAGAAGCUCGUCCAGGGAGGAGGCUGCUCCAGCCCUGAGCCCCACGCGACUCCCGUGAGCACGAGGACUCGGGUGCCCUGGGGUGAGGCGGCACGAGGCUGUCUGUGGAUUUCCACAGCAUCCCAGGAGGCGUCUGGACCGCAGUGGCUCCAGGCUGCCAACCACGGGCAGAGGCCACCGCUCCCGAGCUUGGACCCUGCCACGCGCAGGCACAGGCCAGGCGGCGCCGGGGAAGCCUGGGGGCCCCAGACCGGCCCAGCACCGCCUGACAUUUCUCAAGCAUGCUGGGGGACGGCCCCUCAAUUUAGGAUGAGGACGAGGUGGGCCCGGCAGGAGGGCAGGAGCCGGGGUCCAGGGCGAGCAAGUUCUCCCCGCCCCACGAGGAACGGCAGUGGCCCCGGUUGCCUGGAGGUGGAAGGGGCACUGCAGCCUCACCGCCCCAUACCCCAGGAGCCCACGUGCUUCUCUCACAGGGAAAGGUGUACUGGCCAGACUCAGCGCCCUGAGGACGGGGUCGGAACCCAGCGCCCAGGAAGCUCCCCUCCCCCCGACCAAGGACCUCCCUCCAGGGUGUGCCCGGAGGAGGUCAAGACUCCACUGCCCUGAAGCAAACAAGGCGUCCAGCCCGAGCCAGGGUCACACGCCCAACAGGUAGGAUCCAGCAACCCCUGCGCAGCAGCCCCCGCCAUGCGAGGGAGGACCCGGAGUUGAGCGUGGCCCUGCCUGACAUCUGACCCCGCCGUCAGGAGCUCCACCAGACGUUAAGCUAAAUCCCCACUCACUCCAGACUUCCGGUCCUUUGAAAUGGAGGUGCCCUUGUGUGUCUUCAAUCCAUGUGGAGGGUAGUCUGGCCCAUCCCACACCUGCUACUGUCACUGCCUCACAUCAGCGGCCUCAGGCCACAAGGUCUCCCCACCUGGCUCCUUGGGGAGUGCCAAGCGUUGCCAGCAGCCGGGCUAUGCUGAUCCCAGACAAGUGGCUCGACCGGUCACCACUGUCCUUGAGCUUAAGUCCAGCCUUGGUGACAAAAAUGUCACAAGGACCUGCAUCCGAGCCCUGAGGGCAUCAGGUCCUGGAGGAGGAGGAAGAGUCCCUUCUGGCUUCGGGCUGGGCUUGAGGACGGCAGCUCCAAGACCGCUUAGAGCGAGACUUCAGCGCUGACUGCUGGAGCUACGCACCCUGUCCUGACAAUGGCCGCACAGUUAGGCGCUGCUCCACGCCUGGAGGAGGGAACUGAGGGCCCGAAAUCACAGAAGCAGGAACUCCAGGUUCGCCAGUGCGGCCUGAUCCACCUUCCCUCAAACGUAGCUGCUGACAACGACACCCACGCGCCCUCUCUGGGCCCAGCAGGUCAGAGGUCCAGGUGGGCUGGCUGCUCCACGGCCACGGCUCCAAGGCCAAGGUCAAGGCACUGCUGUCCUGGGCCCUGGUCUGGGUUCUCCGGGAGAGUCCGCGCCUGAGCUCGGCCGGGGGCGGGAUUCUGCUCCCUGUGGCCACUGGGCUGAGGCCCCACUUCCCUGCUUUCGGGGAGCCACGUCCCCCAUCACGCCAUCCCUCCCUCCUAAAAGCCAGCAGGGCAAGGUCCCUCUUAGGCUUCUGACCUGACCUCCCCUCCUCCAGCUGGAGAAGGGUCCCACGCAUGAGGACAUUUGUGACGAUGCCGGGACCCGAGGAAUCCAGGACGACCCCUCUGCAGAGCCCCUGUGCCCCGGGAGGCACCACACCCACGGCUCCAGGGGGUGGGGGGGACGGUGGCUUCUCUGGGGCUGACCCAGACCUGCAGUACACAGCGCCAGGCCAUGAGGUCUCAGCCUGCGGUCAGGCCGCGUGCACGGAAACCCAGGCUCCUGAACGGCCAGCCAGGAGCAAAGCCGGCCACUGAGUACGGGAGCAGGCUCCGGGGACACGCUCCCACUCCUUUUAGGGGCCCAGAGGCUGUGGAUGAGGAGCUCGAGUAUCCCCCUCUCAGUGUAACCUCCCCACCCCUCCCACAUCCUCCAAGUGGGGCAGGAGCCGCCUCACCAGAGCUGGGGGAGGGGGCCACACAGGUGCACCCCUGGGGAGGGGCAGCGGAGACUUGUGGGCAGGAAUGUGGCCAGGGUUUCUAGAUCAUCUGGUUUUUCAAGAGAAGCCACAAGUCUGCGUUUGAGGGUGGCAGCCCCUGGUGUUCCAAAGUCGGCAAGCAAUUCAAGCAUCCACACCCCCACCCCGGGGCAGCGUUGGGUGCCCAGACCUCAGGGCCACCCCGAGAGCUCCUGCAUCCACCUGGGGGCUCGCAGCUCCCCCAAGCUCCUGGCGGGUAGCAGUCAUUCCAGGAUCUGAUAAAAGCCCCCGAAAAUGCCCCGGUCAGCCCAGCCACACCCGGGCAACACCGACAGCCAUUCUCCACCAGGGCCCCAGCGCCCAGCUGAGUGAGACCCACCCGGUAGCUUCCGGGGCUGGGCCCCUGCCCCACCAGUGAAAACAUUCUGGUCACAGUGAUGCCGCCCUGAGAAGCUCCUCACCGUCCCCCGUGGCCUUGGAACCCCCCUCACACCCAUGGGUUCCAGGCACCCUGGCGGCUGUCUGUCCCCACGAAGCCUGGCCCUCUCACAGCGUAGGGAGGCUGCGGUCACCAGCGUGGGUCCCGCGACCCAUUCCACCCGGCCCCUGGGCACCGGAAGCCAGGCGGCGAGCGCAGCAGACCCCAGAGGCAGCUUUCCUCA
Molecule: long non-coding RNA, 3761 nt
Filed under: Homo sapiens (human)
Lineage: Eukaryota; Metazoa; Chordata; Mammalia; Primates; Hominidae
Description: HSALNT0395552
Source: RNAcentral